GAUGAACGCUGGCGGCGUGCUUAACACAUGCAAGUCGAGCGAAGCACUUUACUUGGAUUUCUUCGGAAUGACGAGUAUUGUGACUGAGCGGCGGACGGGUGAGUAACGCGUGGGUAACCUGCCUCAUACAGGGGGAUAACAGUUAGAAAUGACUGCUAAUACCGCAUAAGACCACAGCACCGCAUGGUGCAGGGGCAAAAACUCCGGUGGUAUGAGAUGGACCCGCGUCUGAUUAGCUAGUUGGUGGGGUAACGGCCUACCAAGGCAACGAUCAGGAGCCGGCCUGAGAGGGCGACCGGCCACAUUGGGACUGAGAUACGGCCCAAACUCCUACGGGAGGCAGCAGUGGGGAAUAUUGCACAAUGGGGGAAACCCUGAUGCAGCGACGCCGCGUGAAGGAAGAAGUAUUUCGGUAUGUAAACUUCUAUCAGCAGGGAAGAAAAUGACGGUACCUGACUAAGAAGCCCCGGCUAACUACGUGCCAGCCGCCGCGGUAA
RNAcentral lists this ribosomal RNA (497 nucleotides) under uncultured bacterium. RNAcentral's name for it is "partial 16S ribosomal RNA". It matches the Rfam family "Bacterial small subunit ribosomal RNA", at positions 28 to 523 of the family's 1533-position model. The record is from RNAcentral.